GAGCGCCGUAGCAAUACGGAGCGGCAGACGGGAGAGUAACACGUGGGAACGUACCCUUUGGUUCGGAACAACCCCAGGGAAACUUGGGCUAAUACCGGAUAAGCCCUUACGGGGAAAGAUUCAUCGCCGAAGGAUCGGCCCGCGUCUGAUUAGCUAGUUGGUGGGGUAAUGGCUCACCAAGGCUACGAUCAGUAUCCGGUCUGAGAGGACGGUCGGACACACUGGAACUGAGACACGGUCCAGACUCCUACGGGAGGCAGCAGUGGGGAAUUUUUGGCAAUGGGGGAAACCCUGACCAAGCAACGCCGCGUGGGUGAUGAAGUCUCUUGGGACGUAAAACCCUUUCGACGGGGAAGAAACCGCAAGGUUGACGGUACCCGUAGAAGAAGCCCCGGCUAACUCCGUG
RNAcentral lists this ribosomal RNA (406 nucleotides) under uncultured bacterium. RNAcentral describes it as "bacterial SSU rRNA". It matches the Rfam family "Bacterial small subunit ribosomal RNA", at positions 64 to 507 of the family's 1533-position model. The record is from RNAcentral.